UACGUAGGGGGCAAGCGUUGUCCGGAUUUACUGGGCGUAAAGAGCGUGUAGGCGGUCCGGUAAGUCCGCUGUGAAAGUCGGGGGCUCAACCCUCGAAUGCCGGUGGAUACUGUCGGGCUAGAGUGCGGAAGAGGCGAGUGGAAUUCCUGGUGUAGCGGUGAAAUGCGCAGAUAUCAGGAGGAACACCUAUUGCGAAGGCAGCUCGCUGGGACGUAACUGACGCUGAGACGCGAAAGCGUGGGGAGCAAGCAGG
RNAcentral lists this ribosomal RNA (253 nucleotides) under uncultured bacterium. RNAcentral's name for it is "partial 16S ribosomal RNA". It matches the Rfam family "Bacterial small subunit ribosomal RNA", at positions 524 to 776 of the family's 1533-position model. The record is from RNAcentral.